UUUUUUUUUUUUUUUUUUUUCUUCUGUACGUGUAUGCGUCAUGCGGUGCGACAGUGAGGUUGUUGCUGAUUCGAGCGGUGGUACCGUUUGAUUGUCUGGCGUAACUCCACAUUAUGGUUCUGGCUUCUUGGGCACCAUUGUCAAAAUACAAAGUGUCACGGCUUGAUGAGCUGGGCUUCAGUUUGUCUUCCUCGAUGUCGGUUGCGAUUCAAGAGCAAGCUUGUGGGUGCGGCGCGGUUAUGUGCGACGUUGUGCUUAUUGUGGGCGAGGUUGGCCUUGGCUCAUCCAACUGGCUACAAAGCUGUUCGAGUUUCUUCUUGUUUCUUUUUUUAUUCCUGGACGGCGUUGAGGAAUUUCGCUUGGUUGCGACGUCGGCUUGUGCAUAGAUCGGCUCUCCUCAACGUUGUUCCCUUCCUCGUUGAAGUGCUGCAUUGUAGCAUUGGUUUUGGAUAUCGUGGUCUACUAGCGGCUUGGCAACGUGUUGCGGCAUUCAAGUGCACGCUCGAUUCGACGUGGUGGCUAUGACGAUGCUGCGGUGGAGAUCAGCUCUCUCCUCAUUUUUUUUGUGCUUUGCGAUUUGAUUCAACCGGAUGGUUGGUGGUGCUGAAAAAGGUUUGGUUUGUUGAAGAAGUUCCAGUGGUGCUGGAUGGGGGCAACGUUGCUGUCUACCUUGUUCAACAACAAAGUGGCGGUGGUUGUGUUUUAUCUAAUUCUCAUUCUGCAGUAGUCUCCUCCCUCCUUGACUUGGCAAUAGUCAUCAACAGCCAUGAUUUCGGCCUGGUUCCGACGGCAAGCAACCUGGGCCACCUUGCACUUGUACUAGGAGCUCGACAUCGCUCGAUCGGGUGGUAUUUCAUUCGAUUGCAUUCAUUGAUCGGGGUUGAUUGGCUGUCUGCGGUGUUGGAUUUGCACUCCUCAUCUUGUGAGGUCUUUGGAAUAGUGUAUUUUUCGGAACUUGAUGAGUUUUUGAAUGAGGUUUUGGUGUCUAGAGAUGCGGAGUAGAAGAGCUUAGCGAUAUCAGGAGGAGCAUUUGGUAUAUCUGAUUAAAAUCAUGAGUUGUAGCAUUGGUGUUUGCACUGCGUGGCCUUGCUCGAAGGUGUCGAUGAAGAACACAAGGUUGCUAUGGUCAGUAUCCAUGGUGAUGCAAAUCUGAUGCACUUGAUACGAGGGUAGAAUCAAAGGUCUAGAUUCCACCGCGGUUUGUAGAAGUUACCGAGGAUUCAACUGCUUGCAUCAUUUUGCGGAACUUAACGCAAAGGGCUUCCAUUCACGAUCAGUUUGGUACCACGAGUCUCAUGUAGUUGCUAUUUAAGUUUCUAGGUGCCUUUUUGUGAUGGUUUUUGGAUUUAACAAGGAUUCAGUGCAGAACUGGAGGCAGUCCCUCGAUGCUGAAGUCGGAAGUUCUUGAUCUCUACAUUCUCUUCUGGGGAUGUGAAGCUGAUUCUCUAGUUUGAAGACGGCACCUUGAUGGAGUCUCACAACAAGGAGAUCAACCAAUUGGAGGGGCUUGGCUAGAGUUCGUUAGAGUGGUGUCCGACUGCAAGGAGCUGCUGCAGAUUUCAUCGACAGCGGAGGGCAUUUUGACGCUAGCCGAGACUUAUAUGCAUGGUUCUAGGGAAGGAGAUGUCGAUCAGCAUAGGGAGUUCGGUGGUGUUGGAGUUUGGUAGUGGCAGAGCAGGUCGCAGAAGACAACUACAAGUUGACUCCAUCAAGCUAGCUAUGUAAGAUUUUCAAAGAGGAUGACUUGGAUUGGAUGAACUUAGAUUAAUUUGGAUGAAUAAUUGAAGUUGAAUGGAAAUUUUUAAAUUGGAUGAAAAUUAUUUAGAUGAA
This is a long non-coding RNA of Physcomitrium patens, 1830 nucleotides long. RefSeq lists it as uncharacterized. The record is from RefSeq and is a predicted model, not a curated record. NCBI's taxonomy places the organism in Eukaryota, Viridiplantae, Streptophyta, Bryopsida, Funariales, Funariaceae.